GACGAACGCUGGCGGCGUGCCUAACACAUGCAAGUCGAGCGGGAAUUCAUAGACUGAUUUCUUCGGAAUGAUGAUUAUGAAGGAGAGCGGCGGACGGGUGAGUAACGCGUGAGUAACCUGCCUUCAGGAGGGGGACAACACUUCGAAAGGGGUGCUAAUACCGCAUAAUAUACAUUUAAGGCAUCUUAGAUGUAUCAAAGAUUUUAUCGCCUGAAGAUGGACUCGCGUCUGAUUAGCUAGUUGGUGGGGUAAAGGCCUACCAAGGCGACGAUCAGUAGCCGAACUGAGAGGUUGAUCGGCCACAUUGGGACUGAGACACGGCCCAGACUCCUACGGGAGGCAGCAGUGGGGGAUAUUGCGCAAUGGGGGCAACCCUGACGCAGCAACGCCGCGUGAAGGAAGAAGGUUUCGGAUUGUAAACUUCAACAAUCAGGGACGAAACAAAUGACGGUACCUGACUGAAGCCACGGGCUAACUACGUGCCAGCAGCC
Molecule: ribosomal RNA, 491 nt
Filed under: uncultured bacterium
Lineage: Bacteria
Description: bacterial SSU rRNA
Rfam family: Bacterial small subunit ribosomal RNA
Source: RNAcentral